RNAcentral lists this ribosomal RNA (1665 nucleotides) under Triticum aestivum (bread wheat). RNAcentral's name for it is "partial small subunit ribosomal RNA". Lineage: Eukaryota; Viridiplantae; Streptophyta; Magnoliopsida; Poales; Poaceae. The record is from RNAcentral.
AUGGGUUCCAGGGAGGAAUCCAGGGCUCGACUUAGGGCGGAUGUGUGGGACCCUGCGCUGCGGGUCACGGACGAGGAAAAUGAGAACCUGAGCUUGGCCUUCCUCCCUGAGGAGAUUGACAAGGCGACGCUGGGUAUGAAAUCAGACACUGCGCCCGGGCCAGAUGGGUGGCCGGUGGCGAUGUUUAAGCGGUUUUGGCAAGUGCUUAAAAGUCCUAUUUUCGACGUUUGCAAUGGUUUUAUGGGCGGUACGGUAGAUAUCUCUCGCCUGAACUUUGGGGUUCUCUCUCUGAUCCCCAAGGUCCCGGGCGCGGAUCACAUUAGACUUUUUCGCCCUAUCCCUUUGAUUAAUGUUUCAUUUAAAAUUUGUGCCAAGGCUUGUUCUACUCGCAUGUCUCCGAUAGCCCAUCGCAUUAUCAGUAGGACCCAGUCGGCUUUCAUUCGUGGCCGUAACAUCUUGAAGGGGCCGUUGGUCCUCCAAGAAAUAGUCCACUCCCUGAAACGCGCUCGACAGCCCGCGAUUCUCCUCAAACUAGAUUUUGAGAAGGCGUACGACCAUGUGAACUGGGAGUUUCUCCGACAAGUCCUCCUGGAUCGAGGAUUCUCGUCGGUUUGGGUUCACCGCAUAAUGCAGUUGGUCUCGGGAGGCCAAACGACGAUUGCGGUGAAUGGAGAAGUAGGGAACUUCUUCCGCAACAAGCGCGGGCUGCGUCAAGAGGACCCAGCCUCGCCGUUGCUUUUUAACUUUGUGGCGGACGCCUUAGGCGCCAUGCUAGACAGAGCUCGUUUGGCCGGCCACAUCAGGGGAGUGGUGGACAAUCUUAUCCCGGGAGGAGUGUCUCACUUGCAAUAUGCGGACGACACACUUCUCCUAUUCGAGCCCGAUACACAUAGUAUCACUUCGGUCAAGGCAAUACUGCUGUGUUUUGAACUCAUGUCGGGACUCAAAAUAAACUUUCACAAAAGUGAAGUGGUGUCCAUAGGGUUGGACGCGACCGAAAGUCAACGGGUCGCCAACUUGCUUAACUGCAAACUUGGUCAGUUCCAGUUUACCUACCUCGGUCUCCCCAUCGCGGCGAAGAAGUGUGCUAUCUCCGACUGGGAACCCCUCUCCUCCAAGGUUGCGAACAGGGUUUGCCCGUGGAGGGGUCGUUUUAUGUCUUCAGGGGCAAGACUAAUCCUAACCAACUCCAGCCUCUCCUCUCUGCCCAUGUUUGCCAUGGGCCUGUUCUUACUGGCGGACGGGGUACACUCUAAGUUUGAUACACCGUGGUCCCGUUUCUUUUGGGAAGGAGCGGGACCGAAACGGAAAUACCAUAUGGUUAAAUGGCAGGCCGUGUGUCGUCCUAAAGCCCAGGGGGGUCUUGGGAUCAUCAACUCCAAGUUGAUGAACAUCGCACUAAUGUGCAAGUGGAUCUGGAAAAUGACUCGGGGAGAGACUGGCCUCUGGAUCGACCUCCUCCAUGCGAAAUAUUUCCCGCAUGGGAAUUUUUUUGACGCGGCUCCCCGAGGGUCUCCUUUCUGGAACUCCAUUCAAUCCCUCAAACCCUUCUUUGCCAGGGGUGCAAAGUUUGUGGUUAACAAUGGACGCUCCACGCGUCUUUGGCUCGAUUUUGGAUUGGCCGUCGACCCUUAUGGUCGGAGUUUCGCCAACUCUACUCCAUAG